Molecule: ribosomal RNA, 499 nt
Filed under: uncultured bacterium
Lineage: Bacteria
Description: bacterial SSU rRNA
Rfam family: Bacterial small subunit ribosomal RNA
Source: RNAcentral
UAGUCCACGCCGUAAACGAUGGACACUAGUUGUUGGAAUUAUUCAGUGACUAAGCGAAAGUGAUAAGUGUCCCACCUGGGGAGUACGAUCGCAAGAUUGAAACUCAAAGGAAUUGACGGGGGCCCGCACAAGCGGUGGAGCAUGUGGUUUAAUUCGAUGAUACGCGAGGAACCUUACCAGGGCUUAAAUGUAGAGUGACAGGACUAGAGAUAGUUUUUUCUUCGGACACUUUACAAGGUGCUGCAUGGUUGUCGUCAGCUCGUGCCGUGAGGUGUCAGGUUAAGUCCUAUAACGAGCGCAACCCUUGUCGUUAGUUGCCAGCAUUUCAAGAUGGGGACUCUAACGAGACUGCCGGUGCAAACCGCGAGGAAGGUGGGGAUGACGUCAAAUCAUCACGGCCCUUACGUCCUGGGGCUACACACGUGCUACAAUGGUAUGGACAGAGAGCAGCCACUAUGCGAAUAGGAGCGAAUCUACAAACCAUAUCACAGUUCGGAUC